ACAAAAGGGACUUCAGGAUGAGAUAAGAGAAUGGAUUUUUUUCCCCCCUACUGGCAGUAACCAAAAUCAGGAGAAAAAGUCUACGGAAAAACCACCAUGAGAGAGGGGCCCAGGGAGAGAUGAAGAGUGAGAGAGAGAUGGGAAAACGAAGGCUUCAAAGAUGACACUCCCUAAGUGAAGAGCCAAGAUGUGGCCCCGAUUGCGUGGCUCCGAAGCCUACACUGGGGGACUUCCUUGGGGGUCCACUUCAGGGGCCACAGGUUCCAGCCCUGGUCAGGGAACUAAGAUCCCACAAGCCACACGUGUAGCUGGAAACAAAUAAAAAGCCUGCACUGACA
Molecule: long non-coding RNA, 338 nt
Organism: Bubalus bubalis (water buffalo)
Lineage: Eukaryota; Metazoa; Chordata; Mammalia; Artiodactyla; Bovidae
Exons: 2
Source: RefSeq, a predicted model, not a curated record